GAUGAACGCUGGCGGCGUGCUUAACACAUGCAAGUCGAACGGUGAACACGGAGCUUGCUCUGUGGGAUCAGUGGCGAACGGGUGAGUAACACGUGAGCAACCUGCCCCUGACUCUGGGAUAAGCGCUGGAAACGGCGUCUAAUACUGGAUAUGUGACGUGACCGCAUGGUCUGCGUUUGGAAAGAUUUUUCGGUUGGGGAUGGGCUCGCGGCCUAUCAGCUUGUUGGUGAGGUAAUGGCUCACCAAGGCGUCGACGGGUAGCCGGCCUGAGAGGGUGACCGGCCACACUGGGACUGAGACACGGCCCAGACUCCUACGGGAGGCAGCAGUGGGGAAUAUUGCACAAUGGGCGCAAGCCUGAUGCAGCAACGCCGCGUGAGGGAUGACGGCCUUCGGGUUGUAACCCUCUUUUAGCAGGGAAGAAGCGAAAGUGACGGUACCUGCAGAAAAAGCGCCGGCUAACUACGUG
RNAcentral lists this ribosomal RNA (469 nucleotides) under uncultured bacterium. Its description in RNAcentral is "partial 16S ribosomal RNA". It matches the Rfam family "Bacterial small subunit ribosomal RNA", at positions 28 to 507 of the family's 1533-position model. The record is from RNAcentral.